GUUAACAAACAGUAGACACAAUACACACAUCCAAAUACUGUACUUCAGCUUUAAAUUUUAAUAAAGUAUUACUAUUUUCUGCUUCAAGGUAUUACUUUUGAGAUUAUUAUAUAUAUUAGAAAAUAUAGCAUAAUGAAAAUACUAGUUAUUGUAAACUUUACAAACCACCCAGCAGUAUGUAAAGUCAAAUUAUAAAAUACUAAUAAAUAACAAUUGCACAACAGAAUCUCAGUGUAAUGAACAUACUUAUGUGUUCAUUACCGACACACUUAGUUUUGACAAAGCACACUGCUUAGGUAAAUGAUCUCAGUAGUUGUUUAUCACUGAGCAAUUUAUGUGUUUCGAGCCAAAUAAAUGACAGUGAGAGAGAGAGAGAGAGACAGACAAUCGUUGGGUUGCGCAUGCGCAGACAGAUUGCGCGACCGACGGGCCUUGAACUUUAAGGGAAAAAACACUUUCUCACGGACGGUGACAGCGAAACGGAUAACAGUCUUCAGUACCUGCUGGUCUUUGAAGCUCUGGAUUCUGGGACUGUUGGAAAAGCUCCAACAAAAUGAGGAAGAGGAGCGGGAGAAAAACAAUUAGAUUGAAUUACAAUUGGAUGGAUGUCGAGGACAAGGAGGAGGAAGCUUAGGAUGAGGAGGAAGAAAAGCAGCAGGAGCAUCUUUGGGGAUCUCUACGAUGUCAUUGAGAGGCGGCGGCGAGAGGGGAGACCUCAGCUCAUCCAGCUGGACAGCCUGACCAGGAGGAGUCUACAUUAACUCGGCUCUUCCAGGGCACCCUGCAGACUCGGCUGCUGGCAACACUGGGAUGACGUGAACGCCAAACAGGAGUCCAUCACAGGUCGACUGCAGCUCCUUGUCUCAGAGUGGGAGG
Oreochromis aureus is the source of this 876-nucleotide long non-coding RNA. RefSeq lists it as uncharacterized. The record is from RefSeq and is a predicted model, not a curated record. NCBI's taxonomy places the organism in Eukaryota, Metazoa, Chordata, Actinopteri, Cichliformes, Cichlidae. The transcript is spliced from 4 exons.